GGCCAAUGAUGUGACAAUAUAUUUGCUACUCUUGAAGGCUAAUGCAAGUGAUGAACAUCAUCCACCAAGAUCUCUGAGGCC
Small nucleolar RNA from Nymphaea colorata (pocket water lily), 81 nucleotides. RefSeq annotates it as small nucleolar RNA SNORD24. Lineage: Eukaryota; Viridiplantae; Streptophyta; Magnoliopsida; Nymphaeales; Nymphaeaceae. The record is from RefSeq and is a predicted model, not a curated record. The transcript has a single exon.